This 72-nucleotide transfer RNA is filed under the name Apiotrichum gamsii. Its description in RNAcentral is "tRNA-Val". It matches the Rfam family "tRNA". From Rfam's summary of the family: Transfer RNA (tRNA) molecules are approximately 80 nucleotides in length. The record is from RNAcentral. Lineage: Eukaryota; Fungi; Basidiomycota; Tremellomycetes; Trichosporonales; Trichosporonaceae.
GGGAAAUUACAUUAAUUGGUAGAUGGCUACUCUUACACAGUUGAGGCAUAGGUUCGAAUCCUAUAUUUCCUA